RNAcentral lists this ribosomal RNA (484 nucleotides) under uncultured bacterium. RNAcentral describes it as "partial 16S ribosomal RNA". It matches the Rfam family "Bacterial small subunit ribosomal RNA", at positions 30 to 507 of the family's 1533-position model. The record is from RNAcentral.
AUUGAACGCUGGCGGCAGGCCUAACACAUGCGAGUCGAGCGGAUGAAGGGAGCUUGCUCCUGGAUUCAGCGGCGGACGGGUGAGUAAUGCCUAGGAAUCUGCCUGGUAGUGGGGGAUAACGUCCGGAAACGGGCGCUAAUACCGCAUGCGUCCUGAGGGAGAAAGUGGGGGAUCUUCGGACCUCACGCUAUCAGAUGAGCCUAGGUCGGAUUAGCUAGUUGGUGGGGUAAAGGCCUACCAAGGCGACGAUCCGUAACUGGUCUGAGAGGAUGAUCAGUCACACUGGAACUGAGACACGGUCCAGACUCCUACGGGAGGCAGCAGUGGGGAAUAUUGGACAAUGGGCGAAAGCCUGAUCCAGCCAUGCCGCGUGUGUGAAGAAGGUCUUCGGAUUGUAAAGCACUUUAAGUUGGGAGGAAGGGCAGUAAGUUAAUACCUUGCUGUUUUGACGUUACCAACAGAAUAAGCACCGGCUAACUUCGUG